Long non-coding RNA from Mauremys reevesii (Reeves's turtle), 592 nucleotides. RefSeq lists it as uncharacterized. Lineage: Eukaryota; Metazoa; Chordata; Testudines; Geoemydidae. The transcript is spliced from 4 exons. The record is from RefSeq and is a predicted model, not a curated record.
GCCCACUGUACCCACCCGAAGUAGGAAUGAAACCCAUCCUGAGAGAUGUUGCAUGUCUAGCCGAUCACCUCUUCAGCGGGGCAAGAAGGAAUUUUUUCCUCCCAUGGGCCAAUUGGCAGACAACCAGAGAGAGAGGUGAUCAGUCCCUGACUUGAAGAGCUUGCCAUCUGAUUCAAGACAAGACACAAUAAACAUUAGGAAGAGAGAGUCCUAUCCUAGAGAGCAAUAUCUCCCUUGUCUACAUGAAGUGAAAGCACAAGACAGAACAACAACAACAAACCAGACCAACCUUUUGGAGUUAAUACUUCUUUACAAUCUCCUUCUGAAUUCAAGCUGGUAGUGGGAUACCACCUCAGUGAAAACAACAGGUGGGGGAAAGGAACCAUUAAUACAUCUAAGCAAAGCACUCUGCACCUACAUGUCAGUCCUGUUUCUUUCACUUCAUAAUCUCCUGUCAAACAUUUCCAACACAAUGACGGGGGAAGGGGAAAGAGAAGAAAAUGGGAUGUGAACUCUGAUGGGAGCCAGAAACAUUUCUCAUACUUUUUCAAACCAAAGUACAGGAGGUAUUCAAUAAUAAAUAAAAGCAGUC